CUUAUCUCCCCCAAGAGUCCACAUCGACGGGGAGGUUUGGCACCUCGAUGUCGGCUCAUCGCAUCCUGGGGCUGUAGUCGGUCCCAAGGGUUGGGCUGUUCGCCCAUUAAAGCGGUACGCGAGCUGGGUUCAGAACGUCGUGAGACAGUUCGGUCCCUAUCCGUCGUGGGCGCAGGAAAUUUGAGAGGAGCUGUCCUUAGUACGAGAGGACCGGGAUGGACGCACCGCUGGUGUACCAGUUGUCUUGCCAAAGGCAUCGCUGGGUAGCUAUGUGCGGACGGGAUAAGUGCUGAAAGCAUCUAAGCAUGAAGCCCCCCUCAAGAUGAGAUUUCCCAUAGCGUCAAGCUAGUAAGAUCCCUGAAAGAUGAUCAGGUUGAUAGGUCAGAGGUGGAAGCGCGGUGACGUGUGGAGCUGACUGAUACUAAUCGAUCGAGGACUUAACCUA
RNAcentral lists this non-coding RNA (445 nucleotides) under Mesobacillus campisalis. RNAcentral's name for it is "Bacillus campisalis Bacterial large subunit ribosomal RNA". It matches the Rfam family "Bacterial large subunit ribosomal RNA", at positions 2482 to 2925 of the family's 2925-position model. Lineage: Bacteria; Bacillati; Bacillota; Bacilli; Caryophanales; Bacillaceae. The record is from Rfam by way of RNAcentral.